AUUGAACGCUGGCGGCGUGCUUAACACAUGCAAGUCGAUCGGUAACAGGUGUAGCAAUACAUGCUGACGAGAGGCGGACGGGUGAGUAAUGCUUGGGAAUCUGCCUAUUAGUGGGGGACAACCCGGGGAAACUCGGGCUAAUACCGCAUACGCUCUACGGAGGAAAGCCGGGGACCGCAAGGCCUGGCGCUAAUAGAUGAGCCCAAGUCGGAUUAGCUAGUUGGUAGGUAACGGCCUACCAAGGCGACAAUCCGUAGCUGGUCUGAGAGGACGACCAGCCACACCGGAACUGAGACACGGUCCCGGACUCCUACGGGAGGCAGCAGUGGGGAAUAUUGGACAAUGGGGCAACCCUGAUCCAGCGACGCCGCGUGGGUGAAGAAGGCCUGCGGGUUGUAAAGCCCUUUCGGUGGGAAGAAAAGUCUCGACCUAAUACGUCGGGACCUUGACGUAACCCACUAAAGAAGCACCGGCUAACUCUGUGCCAG
This 488-nucleotide ribosomal RNA is filed under the name uncultured bacterium. RNAcentral's name for it is "bacterial SSU rRNA". It matches the Rfam family "Bacterial small subunit ribosomal RNA", at positions 30 to 511 of the family's 1533-position model. The record is from RNAcentral.